GGCCUUCGGGUUGUAAAGCCCUGUCAUGCGGGAAGAAAAAUCUCCUGGAUAAUACCCUGGAGAUUUGACGGUACCGCAAGAGGAAGCUCCGGCUAACUCCGUGCCAGCAGCCGCGGUAACACGGGGGGAGCAAGCGUUGUUCGGAAUUACUGGGCGUAAAGGGCGCGUAGGCGGCCUGGUAAGUGAGACGUGAAAUGCCUCGGCUUAACCGAGGACCUGCGUUUCAUACUGCCAGGCUUGAGUACAGGAGAGGAGAGUGGAAUUCCCGGUGUAGCGGUGAAAUGCGUARAUAUCGGGAGGAACACCAGUGGCGAAGGCGACUCUCUGGCCUGAUACUGACGCUGAGGCGCGAAAGCUAGGGGAGCAAACAGGAUUAGAUACCCUGGUAGUCCUAGCCGUAAACRAUGAGCACUAGGUGUGGGAGGUAUUGACCCCUCUUGUGCCGCASCUAACGCAUUAAGUGCUCCGCCKGGGGAGUACGACCGCAAGGUUGAAACUCAAAGGAAUUGACGGGGGCCCGCACAAGCGGUGGAGCAUGUGGUUUAAUUCRACGCAMCGCGAAGAACCUUACCGGGACUUGACAUGCUCAGGACAGGCAUGGAAACAUGUCCUCCCUUCGGGGUCUGAGCACAGGUGCUGCAUGGCUGUCGUCAGCUCGUGUCGUGAGAUGUUGGGUUAAGUCCCGCAACGAGCGCAACCCUUGUCCUUAGUUGCUAGCGG
RNAcentral lists this ribosomal RNA (720 nucleotides) under uncultured bacterium. RNAcentral describes it as "bacterial SSU rRNA". It matches the Rfam family "Bacterial small subunit ribosomal RNA", at positions 413 to 1124 of the family's 1533-position model. The record is from RNAcentral.